This 253-nucleotide ribosomal RNA is filed under the name uncultured bacterium. RNAcentral's name for it is "partial 16S ribosomal RNA". It matches the Rfam family "Bacterial small subunit ribosomal RNA", at positions 524 to 776 of the family's 1533-position model. The record is from RNAcentral.
UACGAAGGGGGCUAGCGUUGUUCGGAAUUACUGGGCGUAAAGCGCGCGCAGGCGGUUCUCCAAGUCAGUGGUGAAAGCCCGGAGCUCAACUCCGGAAUUGCCAUUGAAACUGUUGAACUUGAGGACGAGAGAGGUGAGUGGAAUUCCCAGUGUAGAGGUGAAAUUCGUAGAUAUUGGGAAGAACACCGGUGGCGAAGGCGGCUCACUGGCUCGUUUCUGACGCUCAGGCACGAAAGCGUGGGGAGCAAACAGG